This 252-nucleotide ribosomal RNA is filed under the name uncultured bacterium. Its description in RNAcentral is "partial 16S ribosomal RNA". It matches the Rfam family "Archaeal small subunit ribosomal RNA", at positions 474 to 727 of the family's 1478-position model. The record is from RNAcentral.
UACCAGCACCCCGAGUGGUCGGGACGUUUAUUGGGCCUAAAGCAUCCGUAGCCGGUUCUACAAGUCUUCCGUUAAAUCCACCUGCUUAACAGAUGGGCUGCGGAAGAUACUAUGAGAUAGGAGGCGGGAGAGGCAAGCGGUACUCGAUGGGUAGGGGUAAAAUCCGUUGAUCCAUUGAAGACCACCAGUGGCGAAGGCGGCUUGCCAGAACGCGCUCGACGGUGAGGGAUGAAAGCUGGGGGAGCAAACCGG